GAGAAGAACGUAGCGAAAUGCGAUAAGUAAUGUGAAUUGCAGAAUUCAGUGAAUCAUCGAAUCUUUGAACGCACCUUGCACCCUUUGGCAUUCUGAAGGGUAUGCUCGUUUGAGUGUCAUUGUACUCUCACACUCCCGAUCUUUGCAUUGGGAGCAGUGGACUUGGGUUUGCUGCUUCACCGUCGCUUACCUCAAAUAGGUUAGUGCAACUCUUGGUUGGACAUAGUACGGCGUGAUAAGUGUUCUUCGCCGGUGCCUCGCAAAGAGGGUGGCCGAUCGGGAUGUUGUGCUCCAAACCGUCUUCGGACAAUCUCUGACGACUUGACCUCAAAUCGAGUAAGACUACCCGCUGAACUUAAGCAUAUCAAUAAGCGGAGGA
RNAcentral lists this unclassified non-coding RNA (379 nucleotides) under soil metagenome. RNAcentral describes it as "partial contains 5.8S ribosomal RNA, internal transcribed spacer 2, and large subunit ribosomal RNA". The stretch from base 3 to 119 matches the Rfam family "5.8S ribosomal RNA", at positions 38 to 154 of the family's 154-position model. The record is from RNAcentral.